GCCCUCAGUCGCUCAGCUGGAUAGAGCAUCUGCCAUGUAAGCAGGAGAUCCCAGGUUCGAGUCCUGGUUGGGGCA
RNAcentral lists this transfer RNA (75 nucleotides) under Schistocerca americana (American grasshopper). RNAcentral's name for it is "tRNA-Thr". It matches the Rfam family "tRNA". From Rfam's summary of the family: Transfer RNA (tRNA) molecules are approximately 80 nucleotides in length. Their secondary structure includes four short double-helical elements and three loops (D, anti-codon, and T loops). The record is from RNAcentral. RNAcentral also lists the same sequence under 1 other name. Lineage: Eukaryota; Metazoa; Arthropoda; Insecta; Orthoptera; Acrididae.